RNAcentral lists this ribosomal RNA (440 nucleotides) under uncultured bacterium. RNAcentral describes it as "partial 16S ribosomal RNA". It matches the Rfam family "Bacterial small subunit ribosomal RNA", at positions 338 to 795 of the family's 1533-position model. The record is from RNAcentral.
CCUACGGGGUGCAGCAGUGGGGAAUAUUGCACAAUGGGGGAAACCCUGAUGCAGCGACGCCGCGUGAGUGAAGAAGUAUUUCGGUAUGUAAAGCUCUAUCAGCAGGGAAGAAAAUGACGGUACCUGAUUAAGAAGCCCCGGCUAACUACGUGCCAGCAGCCGCGGUAAUACGUAGGGGGCAAGCGUUAUCCGGAUUUACUGGGUGGAAAGGGAGCGUAGACGGCAGGACAAGUCUGGAGUGAAAUGCCGGGGCUGAACCCCGGAACGGCUUUGGAAACUGUGCAGCUAGAGUGCAGGAGAGGUAAGUGGAAUUCCUAGUGUAGCGGUGAAAUGCGUAGAUAUUAGGAGGAACACCAGUGGCGAAGGCGGCUUACUGGACUGUAACUGACGUUGAGGCUCGAAAGCGUGGGGAGCAAACAGGAUUAGAUACCCGAGUAGUC